GAGGCAGUAGCUCAGUGGUAGAGCCCCCGAUUCGCAUGUGGGUAGACCUGAAUUUGGUUCUCGGUUGCUUCC
This 72-nucleotide transfer RNA is filed under the name Toxocara canis (dog roundworm). It matches the Rfam family "tRNA". From Rfam's summary of the family: Transfer RNA (tRNA) molecules are approximately 80 nucleotides in length. Their secondary structure includes four short double-helical elements and three loops (D, anti-codon, and T loops). The record is from Rfam by way of RNAcentral. Lineage: Eukaryota; Metazoa; Nematoda; Chromadorea; Rhabditida; Toxocaridae.